Molecule: long non-coding RNA, 1663 nt
Organism: Arvicola amphibius (Eurasian water vole)
Lineage: Eukaryota; Metazoa; Chordata; Mammalia; Rodentia; Cricetidae
Exons: 3
Source: RefSeq, a predicted model, not a curated record
CGUGCGGUCGUGACAGGUGACGGCGAACUGGCCCUCCGCGGCGUUCCAGGCCACCAGGAAACGCAGUUGGUGUCGCUCGGGUUCCCGGAAGAGAUCCUCGCGCAGCGGCACCCAGCCUUCUAGGCUGUCGGGCUGCUCGCAAGCCAUGGCCGCCGCGGACCCCCAGACCCCGCCGGGCCGCGACAUUUUUCGCGAGCCGCUACUGCUGUCCGCGGCGCAACUGUUCCCGCCCCCUUCUCUCUGAUUGGCUGUCUGAGGGAGGACGCCUCGGGUUGGUUAAAUGAGAGCCAAUGAAAAGUCUUUGGGGGAAGAUGGGGCCCGGGUUUCCCUUUUACCCCCUGGUUAACCUUGCACUCACUAAAUUAACCAAGCUGGCCUUGAACUUUUAGGUCCGCCUGCCUGAGGCUUUGGAGUGCGUGAAUUGAGGGAGUACCCCGUCGUGCUUGGCAGAGAUUUUACUUUUAAUCACGUGUGUGUAUGGACAGGACGACGUUGCUCCUGAGUACUGGUACCAGAAGACGGCGUCAGAUCCCCUAGCUCAGGAUAAGUUUAUGCAGCUGUGAGCCCCCUAAGGAACUGGGACUCGAACUGCUGGUGCUCUCUAUAAGCAUUUUAUCUCGACAGCAAGGAAACUGAGACCUAGAAAGGGAGCUUAUCUACAAUACAUCUCCACUAGGGCUAAGCAAGACCUCUUCACUACUGAAAACCUGCCUUCUGGGGUAUUGGAACAAGCCUGACUAAAGUGCUUUGGAUAAAAAUCAUUUCUUCACAUGGGCCUACAAGGCCCCUAAAGAUGCCUUGUCUUAAACCUGUCACCUUAGAAUCCAAGAACAACAGACAGACCCAUAGACACCUUUAUUAUAUAAGCAACAGCCAGAAGAGGGCACCAGACCUCAUUACAGAUGGUUGGGAGCCACUAUGUGGUUACUGGGAAUUGAACUCAGGACCUUUGGAAGAGCAGGCAAUGCUCUUAACCACUGAGCCAUCUCUCCAGCCCCAGUUUUAUUAUUUUUGCUGAGGAAGCUUCACCACCCUUCACAAGUAAUUUACUCCACUUGAUAACACAAUCUGUUGGGAAGGACCUGGAGAUAAGAGUUAACCUGGCCGCCACACCUUGAUCAAGACUGCUGCCUGAUUACACGCUUUUUUUUCCCAAGGGGAGGGGUCCUUGUCCAUCUGAACUCUAUACAGAGCCUUGAUGCUGGAUGCCAAGUUUUGACCUUCCUUCAGAUUCACCACCUCCUUAUUUUCGCCACAUCAUCAGCAGAAGCCUUCAUAAUCAUAGGAGCCAAUUCCUCAAAAUGAAUUUCUCAAUUAUAUAAACAUCCUGUAGGUUUGUUUCCUCUAAAGAACCUAGAUGUUAAUACAGUGUGUGUGUGUGUGUGUGUGUGUGUGUGUGUGUGUGUGUGUGUGCCUGGAAUGGAAUGAUAUUUUACAUUUUUCCAUUUAAUAUGUACUUAAAUAUACCACGGGCACAUCCACAUUAAAGAAAUGCAGGCAUGAAGCUAAGGGUGUGACCUGGUGGUAAAGAUGUGCUUAACAUGGACCCUGGGUCCCCAAACAGAAGGCACCUAUGUCAUUGUUUAAUACCUGCAAAUAUUGAGUUGGCUGUAUCACAAUUACCUAAUGAAUCAUAUAUUGAUUAAAAAUAGAUUAAUUUCCA